Molecule: ribosomal RNA, 465 nt
Filed under: Vreelandella stevensii
Lineage: Bacteria; Pseudomonadati; Pseudomonadota; Gammaproteobacteria; Oceanospirillales; Halomonadaceae
Description: partial 16S ribosomal RNA
Rfam family: Bacterial small subunit ribosomal RNA
Source: RNAcentral
CCUACGGGGGGCAGCAGUGGGGAAUAUUGGACAAUGGGGGCAACCCUGAUCCAGCCAUGCCGUGUGUGUGAAGAAGGCCCUCGGGUUGUAAAGCACUUUCAGUGAGGAAGAACGCCUGGUGGUUAAUACCCAUCAGGAAAGACAUCACUCACAGAAGAAGCACCGGCUAACUCCGUGCCAGCAGCCGCGGUAAUACGGAGGGUGCGAGCGUUAAUCGGAAUUACUGGGCGUAAAGCGCGCGUAGGUGGCUUGAUAAGCCGGUUGUGAAAGCCCCGGGCUCAACCUGGGAACGGCAUCCGGAACUGUCAAGCUAGAGUGCAGGAGAGGAAGGUAGAAUUCCCGGUGUAGCGGUGAAAUGCGUAGAGAUCGGGAGGAAUACCAGUGGCGAAGGCGGCCUUCUGGACUGACACUGACACUGAGGUGCGAAAGCGUGGGUAGCAAACAGGAUUAGAUACCCUAGUAGUC